RNAcentral lists this ribosomal RNA (460 nucleotides) under uncultured bacterium. Its description in RNAcentral is "partial 16S ribosomal RNA". It matches the Rfam family "Bacterial small subunit ribosomal RNA", at positions 338 to 795 of the family's 1533-position model. The record is from RNAcentral.
CCUACGGGCGGCUGCAGUGAGGAAUAUUGGUCAAUGGACGAGAGUCUGAACCAGCCAAGUAGCGUGAAGGAUGACUGCCCUAUGGGUUGUAAACUUCUUUUAUAUGGGAAUAAAACGUUCCACGUGUGGGAUUUUGUAUGUACCAUAUGAAUAAGGCUCGGCUAACUCCGUGCCAGCAGCCGCGGUAAUACGGAGGAUCCGAGCGUUAUCCGGAUUUAUUGGGUUUAAAGGGAGCGUAGGUGGAUUGUUAAGUCAGUUGUGAAAGUUUGAGGCUCAACCGUAAAAUUGCAGUUGAAACUGGCAGUCUUGAGUGCAGUAGAGGUAGGCGGAAUUCGUGGUGUAGCGGUGAAAUGCUUAGAUAUCACGAAGAACUCCGAUUGCGAAGGCAGUUCACUGGACUGCAACUGACACUGAGGCUCGAAAGUGUGGGUAUCAAACAGGAUUAGAUACCCUGGUAGUC